UUUAGUGAUGAUAAAAACCAUACUAUCGACUAGCCAAAGGCAAUGUUGUCGUUGUUAACCAUCUUUCGGGACUGAUA
Molecule: small nucleolar RNA, 77 nt
Filed under: Nadsonia fulvescens var. elongata DSM 6958
Lineage: Eukaryota; Fungi; Ascomycota; Dipodascomycetes; Dipodascales
Source: RNAcentral